GACGAAGGGGGCUAGCGUUGUUCGGAAUUACUGGGCGUAAAGCGCGCGUAGGCGGGUCUUUAAGUCAGGGGUGAAAUCCUGGAGCUCAACUCCAGAACUGCCUUUGAUACUGAAGAUCUUGAGUUCGGGAGAGGUGAGUGGAACUGCCGAGUGUAGAGGUGAAAUUCGUAGAUAUUCGGAAGAACACCAGUGGCGAAGGCGGCUCACCUGGACUGGUAUUGACGCUGAGGUGCGAAAGCGUGGGGAGCAAACAGG
Molecule: ribosomal RNA, 255 nt
Filed under: uncultured bacterium
Lineage: Bacteria
Description: partial 16S ribosomal RNA
Rfam family: Bacterial small subunit ribosomal RNA
Source: RNAcentral